UGCAGUCGAGCGGUAACAGAUCCAGCUUGCUGGAUGCUGACGAGCGGCGGACGGGCUGAGUAAUGCAUAGGAAUCUGCCCGAUAGUGGGGGAUAACCUGGGGAAACCCAGGCUAAUACCGCAUACGUCCUACGGGAGAAAGGGGGCUUCGGCUCCCGCUAUCGGAUGAGCCUAUGUCGGAUUAGCUAGUUGGUGAGGUAACGGCUCACCAAGGCCACGAUCCGUAGCUGGUCUGAGAGGAUGAUCAGCCACAUCGGGACUGAGACACGGCCCGAACUCCUACGGGAGGCAGCAGUGGGGAAUAUUGGACAAUGGGGGGAACCCUGAUCCAGCCAUGCCGCGUGUGUGAAGAAGGCCCUCGGGUUGUAAAGCACUUUCAGCGAGGAAGAACGCCUAGCGGUUAAUACCCGCUAGGAAAGACAUCACUCGCAGAAGAAGCACCGGCUAACUCCGUGCCAGCAGCCGCGGUAAUACGGAGGGUGCAAGCGUUAAUCGGAAUUACUGGGCGUAAAGCGCGCGUAGGUGGCUUGAUAAGCCGGUUGUGAAAGCCCCGGGCUCAACCUGGGAACGGCAUCCGGAACUGUCAAGCUAGAGUGCAGGAGAGGAAGGUAGAAUUCCCGGUGUAGCGGUGAAAUGCGUAGAGAUCGGGAGGAAUACCGGUGGCGAAAGCGGCCUUCUGGACUGAGUCUGACACUGAGGUGC
RNAcentral lists this ribosomal RNA (701 nucleotides) under Vreelandella aquamarina. RNAcentral describes it as "bacterial SSU rRNA". It matches the Rfam family "Bacterial small subunit ribosomal RNA", at positions 56 to 754 of the family's 1533-position model. Lineage: Bacteria; Pseudomonadati; Pseudomonadota; Gammaproteobacteria; Oceanospirillales; Halomonadaceae. The record is from RNAcentral.